RNAcentral lists this signal recognition particle RNA (298 nucleotides) under Oryzias latipes (Japanese medaka). RNAcentral describes it as "Metazoan signal recognition particle RNA (ENSORLG00015004637.1)". It matches the Rfam family "Metazoan signal recognition particle RNA". Rfam says of the family: The signal recognition particle (SRP) is a universally conserved ribonucleoprotein. It is involved in the co-translational targeting of proteins to membranes. The record is from RNAcentral. Lineage: Eukaryota; Metazoa; Chordata; Actinopteri; Beloniformes; Adrianichthyidae.
GCCGGGGGUGGUGGCGCGCGCCUGUAAUCCAAGUUUCCUGGAGGCUGAGGCUGGAGGAUGGUUGGAGCUCAGGAGCUCUGAGCUUCAGUGGACUAUGCUGAUCAGGUGUCUGCACUCAGUUUGGUAUCGAUAUGGUCUUCCUGGGAGAGCCCGGGACAACCAGGUCGUCUAAGGAUGGGUGAAUCGGCCCAGGUCAGAAACGGAGCAGGUCAAAGCCCGCAUGUCGCUCAAUAGUGGGAUCGCACCUGAGAGUAAACGCUGAAGCACAACCUGAGUUUCUCAUCCAGACCCAGUCUUU